UCUGGAUUGAUCACCAUUCUCAUGAUGAUACUAUGAUCAGAAGUAUUUAAAAUUUAUAUAUAUGUCUCUAAUUCUCAACAUCUUUAGAAUAUGUAUCGAAGUAUUAAUUUCAUGGAUGAUUCAAAGACACAUCACUUUUGAAUGAAAAUUAAACUUAUCUAUUUAUUAUCAAAUCAAUAUAUUAAGUACAAAAUUAUACACUAAAAGUAUUACAAUGUGUCAACCAGAUUGGCUUCUAGGACAUACAUCUAACAAAUGUG
Molecule: long non-coding RNA, 260 nt
Filed under: Elaeis guineensis (African oil palm)
Lineage: Eukaryota; Viridiplantae; Streptophyta; Magnoliopsida; Arecales; Arecaceae
Description: long non-coding RNA (EGUI_LNC058829)
Source: RNAcentral